AACCACUCUGGGAUACUGUGAUUCUAUGAUUUAUAUUCGCUGAGAAAUGCUGGAGCAGGAAGCCCACGGCCUGAACUGGUGUUGGCACCUAGAAGAGAAGCAAGUGCUGUGGCCAGGUAUUGGGCACCCAUCUCUGGUUUUGGUUUGGACACUGACUCACCCGGUGAGCUCGGGGAAAUAAUUUCCCUUCUCUGUGCACCUGCUUCCACUCCCCACCUCCAGUUGCCUCCUGGUUGGGCUCGGUGCUCUUCAGGACAUGGUCUGUCUCUCACUGCAUGUACAUACAGCGCCUCAGCACAAUGGAGCCUUGUCUUGGUUGGAGCCUUAAGGUGUUCGUGUCAUCCAAACAGGAAUAAAAGGUAUGCCCAGACAACAAGACUAGCUUCCCGGACGUGCUGCUCUGCAAGCAUGUCUGAAACCUGGUGUGCUGGGAGCUGCCUCUGUUCCUAGUUCAUGACUUCUCCCAGCCAGCCGGCAGUGCAUUACCUGGUUCCAGUUACACCACAGAGGUGAACUGGCACGUUCCCAGUUCCACUGGGAGCUAGUGUGAAAUCACUGAACUCAUUUUGCAAAUUCCAGCAGAGCCUGAUAGGAGCCUCCAUCCCUGCAGCCCCGGAUGGGAGCCUCCAACCCUGCAGCAGUGGAUCUGAGCCUCCAUCCCUGCAGCCCGGGACCUGCGCCACCUCCCUGCGGGUGCGGAGCUCCUCACUCAGCCCUGAAGCUCAGAGCCAGCCCUUCCCACUCUUAGCCCACACUGGCCUCAGCCUGUUCCACUUUGCCAAGGGAGAAACGAGCAGAGACAUUUCCCCCCCUCGUCUGAGGAGGGCUGAUUUCAAAUACAAGAAGAAAUCUGCUUCAGAAAAUGCCCAUCUGCCUGUGCAGGUUUUAUUCCUGUCAAAUCAGCGCUGUCCAGAGCUGCUCAUUUUCUGCUCCUGCCACCAACAUUCUUUUACUCACACCGAGUGUUGUAAUCGGGGAAUGGGAAAGUCACCCUGAGGCCCACUCUUCAUCACAGCAAUGCAUGGAGGUGACCUGAGCUCCACAUUUCUGGCCCAUCUGUAUUGCGCUGUUGCCUUUUCCUUCGCGGGAGAGCGCCAGGUAUUUUACAUUUCAUCCUGCUCCCACAGACUGCAGUGAUUUAUAACAGGAGCUGCCUUAUUAAUGUCAAGGGCAGAAUUGCUACCAACAUUCCAGCUGCAAGAGCGUAUGGAGAUCAUUCCAUUAGCUGUAGCAUGAUCCCAGCACCCAGGGCUGUAGCUGAUGUUCCUCUCUCUGCUCGCAGCCUCAGCCAAGUCUGGGUGCUGGUUUCUGGGCCAGUGGGUGAGACAUGAACAGGCCCAUUCCAAGCUAGAGCUUUUCAACCUCGGAGCAGCCCAAAGCGAGUGGUGGGGCUCAGGUUUCCGUGCUUUUGACAGAGGCACUGCUGGGAUGGAACCUCUCUCUGCUCCUUCUGGAGGAUUUACACUGCCACAAGCCUUCAUUUUUUCCAGAUGUUUUACCUAAUAAAUCAAGGAGUCUCAUCAGAGGAUUCGAAUCCAAAAGCUGUUACCAUGACUUCAAAGGCACAGGCUGGAAUGGAAAGAAGCAGCGCAGACAUUUUGUACCACUCUAGUCACUGGUCAUGAAAAUACACUCUGCUUCCAGGCUUUUUUUUUGCUGUGGAUCCCAAAACUCCACUGUGAUUAAAUGAAAAGGUGCUGUGCUCCUCCAGCCAGCCUUUGCUUUAAAGAAUCGAGCUGCAGCACUCACAGCCCUAUGGUUGGCAGUAGCUGAGGACGGGGCUGGUCCUGGGUGGAGGUGAGCCCUGCCACCCCCUGUCCCAGAUCAGAGCCUGUUCUUGCAGGGUUGGACUCGUUCUGUGUCUUCAGCUCAGUACAAGGCCUCGUGUUCACCCUGAGAGCUGGUUUAAGCUAUUCCCAUAUAAAGGAUUCAGAUGUCCAUUCAUGUGCUUCAGGUGCUUGGGAGAGGGGAAGAUAAAGAGUUACAUGGCUGCAAAAUGUUAUUGUUCAAAUUGGUUUGUUCCUUAGUGGAGGAUGUAACUUUCUUCUUUAAAGAUAGUAAACCCUUUCUUUUCACAGUGUCUACACAGUGUCAUUUGCUUUCACUGUUACAUUGCUAAAGAUAAAUGCUCUGGUGUUUUGAGAAACUGCUGUGUAUGUGUUUCUAAUUACUUGAUAGCAGGGUACUGGUGGAGAAUGUAAUGAAGGAAAGCAGCAGAAGAAAGAAAAGCUGUUCCUGUGGGUAGGUGAGCAGAACACCUACAAGGUUGUGUUUCGGCUUCCUGCGCUCCCAGAAAGUGCUGGUGUGGCUCCAGCUGCCUAAGUUAGGAUCCAUUCUGCAGCAGCUCCUCCUGACAGCAGUACCAAGGAUGCUGAACCCAGCACCCCAAACUGCCACGGCUGCUCGGGACUGGGGACAUCUAGAAUGCAACGUGUGGAGCUGUCAGAAUGGAAUGGGAGCGGCACAGAUCGGCUUCGGGAGCCAAAAAUAGGCUGUGUGCUGCUGCUGUGUCACCCACCCUCCAGAGGCCCAGGGAGUGCUCGGAGGGGGGAUUUUGUCCAUGCUGAUGGCUGCAUUGGCAUUCCCGUGUUCCUGAUGUCAUCACGUGCAUUACCCUUUCCCUAAAGGAAAUUCCUUCACAGCAUCUGAAGGGGCGAUGAGGUCUUAAGGAGCAUUCCAGCAGGAGGAAGCAGACCCAAAACUAAAGGGCUGUGAGAUGUGUAUGAACCAGAUAAUUGCUCAUUCCAGCAAACAGGACUCUGUCCCUGUCCCAGUCUGUUCAGUGUCCAUACUCUUUCCCCUUGCUGCGGAUCAUUGUCCCUGUCUUCACUACAUCAUAGCAAUGAUGGGUGCCUCUGGCUUUGACCUGUUAAAUUACUGGACUAAUGUAAUUUUGUUCAAAGGUUCUAAACCAACUCUGUGCCUCCAGUUUCUGCCUUUUAAAGCAGACGCUACUUGGGGCUCCCAGAAUCAUUAAAUAUGCAUAUUCAGUUUUGAACACCUAAAGCAGUAAACAGCUUGAGAUACAAACCAGCCAUGACUGACCAGCAACAGCAACGGGCACUUGUGGGAGUUGUAGAUGUUAACCCAACAGUGGGAUCUGUCUAGUCUCAAACUGAUGCAUGAGGCUUGCUCCAUUUGUAACGUGGCUUUGUCUUCCCACUCGCAGGACUCCGCAGGUGCAGGUGAUCAGUGCCCUGAGCAGUGGAUGGCUUCCAGAGCUGGGGAGAGAUGACAGCUGGAAGCCACUGGGAAUCAUGCCUUAGGCUCUUGUGUUUUGUGUGUGCAGGGGAUAUGGGCUGCAUGUGGGGAGAAGUGAAGCAGGGAGCAACUGUGCCAAGAACAAGGGAAAUGAAGGAUUCCAGCCAUAUGACCCAAGACAUCAGCUGUACCUGUCAGGGAACCAAAACCCAAAGUGGCAGGCCUAUGUUAGUGACCUGCCAUGCUGGGCAGAGGGCAGGUUUAAUUGGUAUCUGUAAAAUGUGCUGGGAUAACCAGGAGCAAUGGACUGUGUAUUUUCCAGGCAUCCUCUGUUGCUGGUCUAAGAUUGUUUCCUUGAUUCCCCCAGCCCAGAGGCAAUGACUGUUUCUCUGUUCUGUCAAUUCUCUUCCUCUUGUUUUUAGCCUUUCUCCUCUUCGUGUUUUUCCUCUCUGGAAUUGCUCUCACACCACUGCAGUCUCCUUUCCCUGCCUUGGCUGGCACUGGCACCAGGAGAAAAUGAGGUAGUGUUUACACAGCAGUGCAGCUGCUGGACGCAGGAGAUAUGAAGUGUGGACCUGCUGUGCUCCCUUUGGUGACUCACAGCACCUCUCCCUGCUUCUGAUCUCCUUCAGCUUUCCUUCCAGGCCGACCUUCUCUGGGGAGAGGACUUGCUUUUAGUGUGUGAUCCUACCGUGUCUAAUACAAUAGGACCCAACCUCAGGUAAGACCUUUAGGCACUGCCAUUAUAUGAAUGAGAACAAGAUUGUUGGUGUCAGUAAUUAACAUUCCUGUGGGAUUGUUGGAAGUGCUUUGGGAUAAACACCACCUGGAAUCCUCAUUUGGCUUAUGUGUUUUUUAAGCUGUAGAGGAGGCUGAUCCUGUUCACAUGAGAGGGCAUGGACCAUCUGCCUCAUCUCUUACUGUAUACGCAACAAAGUCUUGCAGCCAAAGAUGAGUUACAAUGCGCCAGUGAGAAGUGGGACACUGGAAAAGUGAGAGCAUUGAAGGUGGGGAAGAGGAAUGGAGACUCCAUUAUCAGGCUGUCUUCAGUAAGGAUCUCUUCUGAGAACAAAGGCAAUAUGACAGCCACCAAAACAGGGAAAAUUACCAAACUAAGUGCCACUGAUAACAAUGUGAAUGCCUGUGGCACAGUGUCAUCCCAUGACAGGCUUCCAGAGAUGAAAUCUCACACUGGUUUAAUGGAUGGAAAAAUCCUGCUGACUGCAAUAAUGUCAGGCUUUCCCCUUGGGGUUACCUCCAUUUCUCUCCUAAAUGCCAGCCCACAUUGUUAUGCACACGAUGAUAACAAUUAAAUUAUUCUUUUCCCUUAAAGUGUGGAUUGGAUGCAGUAAUCCCUGCCUUUUGGAUUCUAGGUUCCCUCUAUCUACAUCUGAAAUCCCUAAAUAAACAAACAUUGGAUUAGACCUCAACAGCUCCCUCUGCUCAGCAACUGAAGCCUUUAAAAGCAUUUCACACCAAGUGCUCUGCUCGUGUUUCAGACUCUCUUCAUCACUGACUCAAGCCAAGGAGCUCCUUCUUGCUUUCAAACUUGCCAGGGAACUAACCUUAGUUAUUGGAAGGUCUGGCUCCAUCUAUGACCCUCCCUGACUCUGUUGAGGAGUUGGAAUUGUUUAGCUGAUGACAUCAGGAAUGCCGUGAAUAUGCACUGGGGUUGGGGGGUUCCUGGUAAGCAGCCCACUAACCUAGGAUUUGCUCUGCAGAGUCAGGAGAGUGACUUUUAACCUCAGAGCAGUUUCAAAACCUCAGCUGUGAGCAAUAAACAUGAACAAUGAAUGGUAAAAGGAGAAUCUAGGCCCUCCUGAAUGAUGAAAGAUGUGCACCUUCCUGGCACUAUGGUGCUGGAAUUGGCAUGGAGACCUAUGCAGGAGCCAUCACUGGUCAUCACUGCCAGGAGUCACCAAUGGAUGUAGCUGAUGCCUCACCCACAAGGGAGGCAGCUCAGCAGAUUAAACUGAAGAGGUAACCAAAAACCCCAGCAAUUUAAUCCUGUGUUGCCACUGAUGCAGGCCAGCAGCAGCAUGGAAACUUACCCUGUAUGAGGAACAGAAUAGCUUGUAUGAGGUCCAGCACUUGGAGAGGAUGAGGGAGCUUUCUGCUCAACAUUUCCCAAGAGGACUGGAAGGACGGGUUCCUUGCUUGCCCUUCCUGCCUUCCGAGACUUGGCAUGGUCCGGAGCAGCUGGGAACUGGAACUGCAGGUCCAGCUCUGACUCCCACAGCCUUUGGCUGUGAUGUGUUGGAUGAGCACAGAACUGCUGGAGAAGCACUGAAUCCAAGAUCUCCGACAGAAGGAAUGAAAGAAUAAAUGUUUAUAAUUUAACCCGAGGGAUGGACUUAAGAUGCUUAAAUUUCAGCACAGUGGUUAGUCUGGCACUAUUAACAGUGACUGAAGUUCUUUCCUGGUAAUCCUUCUGGCAUAUCAGAUAUCCGUGGAACUCGGCAAGCAUAAUACGACGAAACCCAAACAUCCUUCUGAGGAGGUAAUUACUCAUCCUUGAGAAAACGCUCCGGGAUAUUUUUAGUGGAGGACAAAACCCCUGUUUCCUGACAGCAGAACUACAGGAUAAUGAAGUUUCACCAUGAGAAGCACUCCAGACACCUGUAUGGGCUGAGAGCUUGGGCUCACGGCGAUGGUGCAUCAGUCCCGCGUGUCGCUGUGUCUGUGCACGCACACCUGCGUGUGGUGCCCUGCAGAAUGUGUCAGCGUCUGCCCCGCUGCAGAGCUGCCAAAUAAACAAAUGUGCAAAUCCUGCUGGAUCAGGGGUAAUUUCAUGGGAAUAGAGAGGCAUCUGCAUCAAGCAGGACUCCGUCGCCACAGACAUGGGGCAUAGCAAGGUGAAUGUCCCUGAAAUCAUUCUUCGCUGCCUUAGCAGGAGUCUCACUACCAUGGCAGAGGCCUGUUUCUUUCUGAAACAAGUUAUUUUAAAGUAGUUUUAAACCAUUUUGCAGCACAAACACCCAUUUUGGGCGGAUGGACCCGUGUUUCACCUCCUGCAGUGCCCCACGGGUUCACUUAUCUCAUAGUUACCGCUUCUGGAGUCCUAUGUAAUUAAUGUACUGGAAAGAGACAAUUCAAUUAGUCAAUAAUAAAAUGAGUGAGGAUAGCGGGCACAUUGUAACAAUGUAAUUUAGUGGGCAACAAGCUGAGAUGGAAAAAAUAUCAGGGUACACUUCGCAUGGUUAAUGAAGGAGGAAUGUUAUUGUGUCCUGUCAGAAUACAGCACCCAGCAGCAACAGUGAACCCAGCUGAUGAUGCU
Molecule: long non-coding RNA, 6478 nt
Organism: Melopsittacus undulatus (budgerigar)
Lineage: Eukaryota; Metazoa; Chordata; Aves; Psittaciformes; Psittaculidae
Exons: 9
Source: RefSeq, a predicted model, not a curated record